Hippocampus comes (tiger tail seahorse) is the source of this 2137-nucleotide RNA transcript. It is a transcript of the gene named olfactory receptor 51E1-like, with no coding region annotated. The record is from RefSeq and is a predicted model, not a curated record. The transcript has 4 exons. Lineage: Eukaryota; Metazoa; Chordata; Actinopteri; Syngnathiformes; Syngnathidae.
ACAUUGUAUUUUCUGAUGAUAUGAUUGCCCCACAGCUCGUGUGAUGUCAAUGACGUGCUUCACAUUGCUUGCUGUGCUUUCCAAAUUACAUUGUGGUGGGCGUUUCGUGCGGGGUCAUCAUCCGUCACGUCAUUUAUCUGUUAACGUACAUCUCGUCAUGACAAAUGCCGUCUAGCGGCAGAAGAAUCGCCAACUGCUCCGUUCGGUGGUCAAAUUGAGUUGCCGGCAAUCGCGCAACACGAGGAGUCGGCCUCCCUGGCGGCGACAUGAGCGGAAUCGCAUCGGCCAACGCCAGCGCCGUCAUUCAAUACCGAGACUCACUCGGCAAAGCGGUGGCCAAGAACCUGCUGGUGCUCGUCAUGGGACUGUCCAUCAACUACAUCAACUUCGGCCUCAUGUACACCUUCUGCAAGCACCAGAUCUUCUACUGGGACCCUCGCUACAUCCUGUUCUUCCACCUGGUUGUGAACGACAUGAUCCAGAUGAGCCUGAGCGUCAUCCUCUUCGUGAUCAGCUACACACUCUACAGGAUCGCCGUGUUUGUGUGCGCCCCCCUCCUCCUGAUAGCCGUCACCGCCACCGAGAACACACCCCUCAACCUGGCGUGCAUGGCGGCCGAGUGCUACGUGUCCGUGUGUCUUCCGCUUCACCACGCCCGCAUCUGCACCGUCAGGAGGACUCUGCUCCUCAUCGCCUUGAUCUGGACCGCCAGCCUCGUCUCCACCCUGCCGGACCUCUUCGUCACGCUGGCCACCGAGCCUCUCGAGUUCUUCUCAUCUCGAGUCUUCUGCAUCCGCCAGAACGUCUUCCCCAAUCCGCUGCUGGUUCGGAAGCAGGAGCUCUCGUACAUAUGCUACCAGUUGCUUGUGUGGUCGGUCAUCUUCUUCACGUACUUCAAGAUCCUCUUCGCGGUCCAGUCGGUCAGCAAGGACGCCAAGAAGGCUCGGAGGACCGUCGUCCUGCACGGCGUUCAGGUUCUGCUGUGCAUGACCACCUAUGUUGCUCCAGUGCUCAAGGAAGCUUUGCUCGGCUGGUUCCCCGAGAACUACCCGGACACGCUGUUCGCCUGCUAUCUCAUCGUUCAGGUCCUGCCCCGCGCCAUCAGCCCCAUGAUUUACGGCGUGAGGGACAAGUGCUUCAGGAAGUACCUCAAACGCUACCUGUUCUGCAAGAGUGGUGCUGACUCUGCGGAAAUGACGAGCAAGAAUAACAAAACAAACGCCAGGAGCGAUAACAAAGACCAAAGGCGAGAACAGCAACAAACUCACUAACCAGAUGAAAAAAAAAAAACGCAGACGACUGCGAAAGCCCUUGCUGCUCUCGUCAGUCAGGGUAUGGUCGCGUGACGGCCGUAAUGCGAGCCAGAGCGUACUUUUGCUUUCAGUUUCAGUCGAACGAUCUUUGCCUUGACCUUGCCAUUCACAACUUGACUGCAAACUAUAUGUGUAGCUUAUGCCUGUAAUUCACUUCUGGCUCGUCCAAAAGAACUAAAUUCUUCGUAGCCAUUUCAGAUUUCUGCCACACGAGGUGCUGCUUGCCAUUUAUGUGCGUCUGCUUUGUUAUUGCAGAUAACUACAAGUCACUUCCAGAUACCCGCGAGUGAAUUAGAACUGCAACUGAAUUGUAGAUCGCCGCAACUCUGGUUUGAUAGAUCCACGAUUUUCAUUUUGACUAAAUUCCAGUCACAUAGACUGAAAAAAAGAAAAGUUAAGAGUCCAAAACAUUGGAGUGUUACAAUCAAGGCUUGUCUGGAUUUGGGCCGUUUUAAUAUUGGCUUGAGGUGUUUUGCAUCAUCACCCGCAUUUUUAAAAACAUUGUUUUAUUCAUAUUAUUGCAACUUUGGUGAUUUGUUGUCUUUUUCAAAAUAUGGAAAUGCUCUCCAAAACAUUUUGAGGGAAAAAAAUAUAUAUAUGUUCCUCUGCAGGGGUCUGCAACCAAAAUACUCAAAAUAGCCUUUUUGCCUCCCAUGAGAAAAUAAAAAUCCACACAGAAAGCCACUAAUCAUAGAAAGUGAUGUUAAAACUGCAUAUACAUUAUCAUUGUUGUCUUUUGACCAGUAUCUAGAAAAUAAAGUGUGUUGCAUUUAUGAAGUUAAGACACUGCGACAAAGAACAUGAAAUUUCAUUUCUGCAUUAAG